RNAcentral lists this ribosomal RNA (440 nucleotides) under uncultured bacterium. Its description in RNAcentral is "bacterial SSU rRNA". It matches the Rfam family "Bacterial small subunit ribosomal RNA", at positions 338 to 794 of the family's 1533-position model. The record is from RNAcentral.
CCUACGGGAGGCAGCAGCGGGGAAUAUUGCACAAUGGGCGAAAGCCUGAUGCAGCAACGCCGCGUGAGGGAUGAAGGCUCUCGGGUUGUAAACCUCUUUCAGCAGGGACGAAUUUGACGGUACCUGCAGAAGAAGCCCCGGCCAACUACGUGCCAGCAGCCGCGGUAACACGUAGGGGGCGAGCGUUGUCCGGAUUUAUUGGGCGUAAAGAGCUCGUAGGCGGUUCGGUAAGUCGGGUGUGAAAACUCUGGGCUCAACUCAGAGACGCCACCCGAUACUGCUGUGACUUGAGUCUGGUAGGGGAGUGUGGAAUUCCCGGUGUAGCGGUGAAAUGCGCAGAUAUCGGGAGGAACACCAGUGGCGAAGGCGGCACUCUGGGCCAGAACUGACGCUGAGGAGCGAAAGCGUGGGUAGCGAACAGGAUUAGAUACCCUUGUAGU